AUCUAUAGCCAUACCACUCUGAAUGCCCCCAGUCUUAUCUGAUCUCAGAAGAUAAGCAGGGUUAGGCCUAGGGGGCUGCUUAAUACUUAGAUGAGAGAAUAAACAAGUAAGUGUGUAUA
Molecule: ribosomal RNA, 119 nt
Filed under: Colobus angolensis palliatus
Lineage: Eukaryota; Metazoa; Chordata; Mammalia; Primates; Cercopithecidae
Source: RNAcentral